This 766-nucleotide ribosomal RNA is filed under the name Staphylococcus sp. Its description in RNAcentral is "bacterial SSU rRNA". It matches the Rfam family "Bacterial small subunit ribosomal RNA", at positions 46 to 796 of the family's 1533-position model. The record is from RNAcentral. Lineage: Bacteria; Bacillati; Bacillota; Bacilli; Caryophanales; Staphylococcaceae.
UCCUAAUAAUGCAAGUCGAGCGACGGAUAAGGAGCUUGCUCCUUUGAAGUUAGCGGCGGACGGGUGAGUAACACGUGGGUAACCUACCUAUAAGACUGGAAUAACUUCGGGAAACCGGAGCUAAUGCCGGAUAACAUUUGGAACCGCAUGGUUCUAAAGUAAAAGAUGGUUUUGCUAUCACUUAUAGAUGGACCCGCGCCGUAUUAGCUAGUUGGUAAGGUAACGGCUUACCAAGGCAACGAUACGUAGCCGACCUGAGAGGGUGAUCGGCCACACUGGAACUGAGACACGGUCCAGACUCCUACGGGAGGCAGCAGUAGGGAAUCUUCCGCAAUGGACGAAAGUCUGACGGAGCAACGCCGCGUGAGUGAUGAAGGUUUUCGGAUCGUAAAACUCUGUUAUUAGGGAAGAACAAAUGUGUAAGUAACUGUGCACAUCUUGACGGUACCUAAUCAGAAAGCCACGGCUAACUACGUGCCAGCAGCCGCGGUAAUACGUAGGUGGCAAGCGUUAUCCGGAAUUAUUGGGCGUAAAGCGCGCGUAGGCGGUUUCUUAAGUCUGAUGUGAAAGCCCACGGCUCAACCGUGGAGGGUCAUUGGAAACUGGGAAACUUGAGUACAGAAGAGGAAAGUGGAAUUCCAUGUGUAGCGGUGAAAUGCGCAGAGAUAUGGAGGAACACCAGUGGCGAAGGCGACUUUCUGGUCUGUAACUGACGCUGAUGUGCGAAAGCGUGGGGAUCAAACAGGAUUAGAUACCCUGGUAGUCC